Long non-coding RNA from Prunus avium (sweet cherry), 585 nucleotides. RefSeq lists it as uncharacterized. The record is from RefSeq and is a predicted model, not a curated record. Lineage: Eukaryota; Viridiplantae; Streptophyta; Magnoliopsida; Rosales; Rosaceae.
AAAGAUCGGAAAGUCACUCGAAAAUGCAACUUGAGCUACCAUGAUAUAUAUGAUGUCCAAUCAUAUUUACUUAAAAAAUGAUAUUCUGCUUUCACAAUUAGAAACAAGGCACAUUUACUUAUUCAACGACAAAGAUACCAUUAUAUUUUUCAUAUUUGUUUACCAAAUUUUGUUCACCUAAUUAAUAAUGUUUCGUGACAAUGUUUAAUUAGACGAUACUUACGUGAUAAGUUCAGACAGUUUAAAUAAAGAAAAAUUAUGUAUUAGUAAUAUAAUAGUUUAGGUGCGUAGUUUCUGGACAGUGGCAAAUUGGCAAUGCAUUGGAGACAUUGUUGAAGAAUCUUCAAAGGAGCUUCUACAAUUUCAUAACCUGGCAACCGAAAUGGGUCUUUAUUGACCAGAUUAGGUUUCGAGUGAACAGUGGAGGAGUUCUUAUAUGCUCAUAAAGGAAGAAGAUCGUGGAAGAAGAGGGGUUGCCCAAAUUACCUAGUCGUUAAAUGCCCACUUGCCCAUGAAAUCCAAGUUAAUAGGCAGACGUGGGCUAGAGCUAACGGAACAAAUUGGCCCGCACCAUUAAUUGGCCAA